This 503-nucleotide ribosomal RNA is filed under the name uncultured bacterium. RNAcentral's name for it is "partial 16S ribosomal RNA". It matches the Rfam family "Bacterial small subunit ribosomal RNA", at positions 30 to 523 of the family's 1533-position model. The record is from RNAcentral.
AUUGAACGCUGGCGGCAGGCUUAACACAUGCAAGUCGAGCGGGGUGAUGGUGCUUGCACUAUCACUUAGCGGCGGACGGGUGAGUAAUGCUUAGGAAUCUGCCUAUUAGUGGGGGACAACAUCUCGAAAGGGAUGCUAAUACCGCAUACGUCCUACGGGAGAAAGCAGGGGAUCACUUGUGACCUUGCGCUAAUAGAUGAGCCUAAGUCGGAUUAGCUAGUUGGUGGGGUAAAGGCCUACCAAGGCGACGAUCUGUAGCGGGUCUGAGAGGAUGAUCCGCCACACUGGGACUGAGACACGGACCAGACUCCUACGGGAGGCAGCAGUGGGGAAUAUUGGACAAUGGGGGGAACCCUGAUCCAGCCAUGCCGCGUGUGUGAAGAAGGCCUUAUGGUUGUAAAGCACUUUAAGCGAGGAGGAGGCUCUUUUGGCUAAUACCCAAGAUGAGUGGACGUUACUCGCAGAAUAAGCACCGUCUAACUCUGUGCCAGCCGCCGCGGUAA